AACGAACGCUGGCGGCGCGCCUAACACAUGCAAGUCGAACGAGAAGGCGUAGCAAUACGCUUGUAGAGUGGCGAACGGGUGAGUAAUACGUGGGUGACCUACCCUCGAGUGGGGAAUAACCCGCCGAAAGGCGGGCUAAUGCCGCGUACGCUUCCGUCCUCACGGGGACGGAAGGAAAGCUGUACCGUGGGUACGGCGCUCAAGGAUGGGCUCACGUCCUAUCAGCUUGUUGGUAGGGUAACGGCCACCAAGGCUACGACGGGUAGCUGGUCUGAGAGGACGAUCAGCCACACUGGCACUGCGACACGGGCCAGACUCCUACGGGAGGCAGCAGUGAGGAAUAUUGCGCAAUGGGCGAAAGCCUGACGCAGCGACGCCGCGU
RNAcentral lists this ribosomal RNA (382 nucleotides) under uncultured bacterium. Its description in RNAcentral is "bacterial SSU rRNA". It matches the Rfam family "Bacterial small subunit ribosomal RNA", at positions 29 to 402 of the family's 1533-position model. The record is from RNAcentral.